GUAUUUCUGAACUUGGGCAUAUUCUCCGCAAUAGCAUGAAGAGGUAACUUAGAGGUUGCAGAGAUAGCAAGUGCCUCUGGUACCUUUGUGAUUCUUCCUAAUGUGAGACCCUUACUAUUGCUUUAAGGCAAGACUCUGAAGCACAGAUUCCAGUAAAUACUCUACUUUUUGCUCCUCUCUGCAAGUCAGUUCUCUCUAAAGAGUCUGUAUCCUCUAUGUCAUCCCAGAAAUAAUUUUCCAAUUGGCAGGCAGAUUUUGGCUUGCAACAAGAUUCACAGAGCAUGAGGACCUAUAAUGGAAAUGGACCGCUUCUUAGGAGUCUGCUAUUUCAGG
This 333-nucleotide long non-coding RNA is filed under the name Bos taurus (domestic cattle). Its description in RNAcentral is "long non-coding RNA NONBTAT006361". The record is from RNAcentral. Lineage: Eukaryota; Metazoa; Chordata; Mammalia; Artiodactyla; Bovidae.